GACGAACGCUGGCGGCGUGCUUAACACAUGCAAGUCGAACGGAAAGGCCCUGCUUGCAGGGUGCUCGAGUGGCGAACGGGUGAGUAACACGUGGGUGAUCUGCCCCUUACUUUGGGAUAAGCCUGGGAAACUGGGUCUAAUACUGGAUAGGACCAUGCUGUAGGUGGUGUGGUGGAAAGAUUAGUUUCGGUAAGGGAUGAGCUCGCGGCCUAUCAGCUUGUUGGUGGGGUAAUGGCCUACCAAGGCGUCGACGGGUAGCCGGCCUGAGAGGGUGGACGGCCACAUUGGGACUGAGAUACGGCCCAGACUCCUACGGGAGGCAGCAGUGGGGAAUAGUGCACAAUGGGCGCAAGCCUGAUGCAGCGACGCCGCGUGGGGGAUGACGGCCUUCGGGUUGUAAACUCCCUUCAGCCAUGACGAAGCCCUUGUGGUGACGGUAGUGGUAGAAGAAGCACCGGCUAACUACGUG
RNAcentral lists this ribosomal RNA (469 nucleotides) under uncultured bacterium. RNAcentral's name for it is "partial 16S ribosomal RNA". It matches the Rfam family "Bacterial small subunit ribosomal RNA", at positions 28 to 507 of the family's 1533-position model. The record is from RNAcentral.